CCCUUAGAUGUUCUGGGCCGCACACGCGCUACACUGAAGGAGGCAGCGUGUACUCCUGGAUCGAAAGAUUUGGGUAACCCGCGAAUCUCCUUCGUGCUAGGGAUUGAGGUUUGCAAUUAUCCUUCAUGAACGAGGAAUUUCCAGUAAGUGCAAGUCAUAAGCUUGCGCUGACUACGUCCCUGCCCUUUGUACACACCGCCCGUCGCUACUACCGAUUGAAUGAUUUAGUGAGGACUUCGGACUGGGACCGAUGCGGCUUUCGGGCUGCGUCGGUAUUCUGGAAAGAUGUCCAAACUGUGUCAUUUAGAGGAAGUAAAAGUCGUANCA
This 327-nucleotide ribosomal RNA is filed under the name uncultured eukaryote. RNAcentral describes it as "partial 18S ribosomal RNA". It matches the Rfam family "Eukaryotic small subunit ribosomal RNA", at positions 1470 to 1796 of the family's 1831-position model. The record is from RNAcentral.